This 396-nucleotide ribosomal RNA is filed under the name uncultured bacterium. RNAcentral describes it as "partial 16S ribosomal RNA". It matches the Rfam family "Bacterial small subunit ribosomal RNA", at positions 523 to 918 of the family's 1533-position model. The record is from RNAcentral.
AUACGUAGGUGGCAAGCGUUAUCCGGAUUUACUGGGUGUAAAGGGCGCGUAGGCGGGGAUGCAAGUCAGAUGUGAAAUCUAUGGGCUUAACUCAUAAACUGCAUUUGAAACUGUGUCUCUUGAGUGCUGGAGAGGUAGACGGAAUUCCUUGUGUAGCGGUGAAAUGCGUAGAUAUAAGGAAGAACACCAGUGGCGAAGGCGGUCUACUGGACAGUAACUGACGCUGAGGCGCGAAAGCGUGGGGAGCAAACAGGAUUAGAUACCCUGGUAGUCCACGCUGUAAACGAUGAAUACUAGGUGUGGGGGGACUGACCCCCUCCGUGCCGCAGUUAACACAAUAAGUAUUCCACCUGGGGAGUACGGCCGCAAGGUUGAAACUUAAAGGAAUUGACGGGG